Molecule: ribosomal RNA, 438 nt
Filed under: uncultured bacterium
Lineage: Bacteria
Description: bacterial SSU rRNA
Rfam family: Bacterial small subunit ribosomal RNA
Source: RNAcentral
GCAAAACGCGAAGAACCUUACCUACUCUUGACAUCCAGAGAACUUAGCAGAGAUGCUUUGGUGCCUUCGGGAACUCUGAGACAGGUGCUGCAUGGCUGUCGUCAGCUCGUGUUGUGAAAUGUUGGGUUAAGUCCCGCAACGAGCGCAACCCUUAUCCUUUGUUGCCAGCGGUCCGGCCGGGAACUCAAAGGAGACUGCCAGUGAUAAACUGGAGGAGGGUGGGGAUGACGUCAAGUCAUCAUGGCCCUUACGAGUAGGGCUACACACGUGCUACAAUGGCGCAUACAAAGAGAAGCGACCUCGCGAGAGCAAGCGGACCUCAUAAAGUGCGUCGUAGUCCGGAUUGGAGUCUGCAACUCGACUCCAUGAAGUCGGAAUCGCUAGUAAUCGUGGAUCAGAAUGCCACGGUGAAUACGUUCCCGGGUCUUGUACACACCG